AUUGAACGCUGGCGGCAUGCUUUACACAUGCAAGUCGAACGGCAGCGGGGUAGUGCUUGCACUACUGCCGGCGAGUGGCGAACGGGUGAGUAAUAUAUCGGAACGUACCGAGUAAUGGGGGAUAACCAAUCGAAAGAUUGGCUAAUACCGCAUACGUCCUGAGGGAGAAAGCGGGGGAUCGCAAGACCUCGCGUUAUUCGAGCGGCCGAUAACUGAUUAGCUAGUUGGUGGGGUAAAGGCCUACCAAGCCGACGAGCAGUAGCGGGUCUGAGAGGACGAUCCGCCACACUGGGACUGAAGCAAGGCCCAGACUCCUACGGGAGGCAGCAGUGGGGUAUUUUGGACUAUGGGAGCAACCCUGAUCCAGCCAAGCCGCGUGUAUGAAGAAGGCCUUCGGGUUGUAAAGUACUUUUGUUAGGGAAGAAAAGGAAAGUGCUAAAGCCACUUUUAGCUGACGGUACCUAAAGAAUGAGCACCGGCUAGCUACGUG
This 490-nucleotide ribosomal RNA is filed under the name uncultured bacterium. Its description in RNAcentral is "partial 16S ribosomal RNA". It matches the Rfam family "Bacterial small subunit ribosomal RNA", at positions 30 to 507 of the family's 1533-position model. The record is from RNAcentral.